AUGGUGCCGCCGUGGACCCACGACGUCGAGGAGGCGAUGGCGGACGCGGAGGAGGAAGACGUCGAGGAGCCCCUCGACUGCGGCAUCUGCUUCCUCCCACUCGAGGCGCCGCCGAUCUUCAUGUGCGAAGCUGGGCACCUGAUCUGCUCGCCCUGCCGCGACAUGCUCGGGCUGGCGGUGGGGACGUGCCACGUCUGCAGCGCCAAGGCCGCCCGCCUCGGCUCUCGCCGGAACCUCGGCCGCGACGUCUGGCCGCUCUACUACGAGACCCGCGACCGCAGCGGCGCGCUCCGCGGGCCGUGCCGCUGCCCAGGCGACGCCUGCGGCUUCGUCGACAGCACGGCCGCGCUCCUCUACCACUUCGUCAGCGCUCACGACUGGCCGGUCCACGCCGGGGUGUCCUCCGGGGACAGCAUCGCCGUCCGCCUGCAGGACGGCUUCAACAUCGUCGCCGUCGACUGCAUCGGCGGCGCCUCCGAGCAAGACCGCCUGGAAUUCCCCGGACGGUAUCUGCUCGUGCUGGAGAUGAUCCAGCAGACAUUCGGCCGCACGGUCUUCGCGUUCUGCCUACGUCCCGGCGCCGCCUUCUGGGAGAAGGAGGCGCAGUGCCGCCUCAGCCUCUCCUACUCGCGCAACAUCCUCGACGGUGACGAUGACAAGCCGCCGGUUCAGUGCUACUACCAGACAACCAAGGCCGGCGUGACGUGCACCGAUCUCUCCAGCGGGCUGCCCGACCCCGAGGACUGCUUCCAGGCUCACGUGUUCCGCUCCGCCGACCUGGAGGACAACGAGGACACCGUCGAGGUGACGCUCAGGAUUAUCAUCAACUGA
This 831-nucleotide ribosomal RNA is filed under the name Triticum aestivum (bread wheat). RNAcentral describes it as "partial small subunit ribosomal RNA". The record is from RNAcentral. Lineage: Eukaryota; Viridiplantae; Streptophyta; Magnoliopsida; Poales; Poaceae.